Molecule: non-coding RNA, 400 nt
Organism: Lepisosteus oculatus (spotted gar)
Lineage: Eukaryota; Metazoa; Chordata; Actinopteri; Semionotiformes; Lepisosteidae
Source: RefSeq, a predicted model, not a curated record
CCUCUCUCAGUGGGAGACUCAAUCAGGCAGACAUUUCCAGACAAGCAGGUCCCAGGGUUCGGAAAAGCCAGCUGGGAAAUAGCCGAGGAGCUGGUGCUGAAAAAACUGAAUUUGCGGCUUUUUAAGUAGAACCUAAACUUGGCAGCAAUCAAGCAGCAGGACAGCAUCGCGUCAUCACAGCGCCGGGUCAAGCCAUCGGAGACGAUGCCUGCACACUCCUCCCAGCCGAGAGCAGCAGAGGCAUCUCUGUUCAAUGGCGUGCCUCAUCAGAAAGGAACCAGAUUACACACAACCAGUUUCCACUGAUGGGUGGCACAGGGAAUUGUGCAAGAGGACGAAGCAAUUACUCUAAGCUCCAUUUGUCAGUUUUAGACCAAAUAAAUGCUUUAUCAAUCCUCAA